This 646-nucleotide ribosomal RNA is filed under the name uncultured bacterium. RNAcentral describes it as "bacterial SSU rRNA". It matches the Rfam family "Bacterial small subunit ribosomal RNA", at positions 163 to 807 of the family's 1533-position model. The record is from RNAcentral.
CUAAUACCCAAUGAUAUCUCUAGAAGGCAUCUGAAAGAGAUUAAAGAUUUAUCGGUGAUGGAUGGGGAUGCGUCUGAUUAGCUUGUUGGCGGGGUAACGGCCCACCAAGGCAACGAUCAGUAGGGGUUCUGAGAGGAAGGUCCCCCACAUUGGAACUGAGACACGGUCCAAACUCCUACGGGAGGCAGCAGUGAGGAAUAUUGGUCAAUGGACGAGAGUCUGAACCAGCCAAGUAGCGUGCAGGAAGACGGCCCUAUGGGUUGUAAACUGCUUUUAUAAGGGAAUAAAGUGAGUCUCGUGAGACUUUUUGCAUGUACCUUAUGAAUAAGGACCGGCUAAUUCCGUGCCAGCAGCCGCGGUAAUACGGAAGGUCCGGGCGUUAUCCGGAUUUAUUGGGUUUAAAGGGAGCGUAGGCCGGAGAUUAAGCGUGUUGUGAAAUGUAGAUGCUCAACAUCUGAACUGCAGCGCGAACUGGUUUCCUUGAGUACGCACAAAGUGGGCGGAAUUCGUGGUGUAGCGGUGAAAUGCUUAGAUAUCACGAAGAACUCCGAUUGCGAAGGCAGCUCACUGGAGCGCAACUGACGCUGAAGCUCGAAAGUGCGGGUAUCGAACAGGAUUAGAUACCCUGGUAGUCUGCACGGUAAAC